CCCUUAGAUGUCCGGGGCUGCACGCGCGCUACACUGUAGAAAGCAGCGUGCUUUAAAACCUUUCCUGAAAAGGAUGGGUAACCCCAGCAAAAUUCUACGUGCUUGGGAUAGAGAUUUGCAAUUUUCUCUCUUGAACGAGGAAUUCCUAGUAAGUGCAAGUCAACAGCUUGCGUUGAUUACGUCCCUGCCCUUUGUACACACCGCCCGUCGCUACUACUGAUUGGAUGUUUAAGCGAGGUUCUCGAACUGCUAGUGACUGAUCUUCGGUGAGGUCGCAGUGUGGGAAGUGAACCUAGCUUUGGUGUCUAGAGGAAGUAAAAGUCGUAACA
RNAcentral lists this ribosomal RNA (329 nucleotides) under uncultured eukaryote. RNAcentral describes it as "partial 18S ribosomal RNA". It matches the Rfam family "Eukaryotic small subunit ribosomal RNA", at positions 1470 to 1796 of the family's 1831-position model. The record is from RNAcentral.